RNAcentral lists this ribosomal RNA (443 nucleotides) under uncultured bacterium. Its description in RNAcentral is "bacterial SSU rRNA". It matches the Rfam family "Bacterial small subunit ribosomal RNA", at positions 338 to 795 of the family's 1533-position model. The record is from RNAcentral.
CCUACGGGUGGCAGCAAUUAGGAAUCUUGUGCAAUGGGGGCAACCCUGACACAGCGACGUCGCGUGGGGGAGGAAGGCCUUCGGGUUGUAAACCCCUUUUACCGAGGAAGAAACAAAUGACGGUACUCGGUGAAUAAGUCCCGGCUAACUCCGUGCCAGCAGCCGCGGUAAUACGGAGGGGACGAGCGUUGUCCGAAGUUACUGGGCGUAAAGCGCGCGUAGGCGGGAGAGUAAGUCCGCUGUGAAAGCCCGGAGCUCAACUCCGGAGGGUCGGUGGAUACUGCUUUUCUUGAAGGUGCUCGGGGGAGAUGGAAUUACCGGUGUAGCGGUGAAAUGCGUAGAUAUCGGUAGGAACACCAGUGGCGAAGGCGGUCUCCUGGGGCAUUCUUGACGCUGAGGCGCGAAAGCUGGGGGAGCGAACGGGAUUAGAUACCCCAGUAGUC